RNAcentral lists this ribosomal RNA (309 nucleotides) under Triticum aestivum (bread wheat). RNAcentral's name for it is "partial small subunit ribosomal RNA". The record is from RNAcentral. Lineage: Eukaryota; Viridiplantae; Streptophyta; Magnoliopsida; Poales; Poaceae.
AUGCUUAAACACAAGUCUGAUGUUGAGCAAGUCUUUUAUAAUUUUCAGGCUCAUGUCGAACGCCUUUUGGAUUGCAAAAUCAAGGCCGUUCAGUCUGACUGGGGUGGUGAAUACCACAAGCUUCAUCGCUACUUUCAACGCACGGGCAUCUCCCACCGUGUGUCGUGUCCACAUACGUCUCAGCAGAACGGUAUUGCCGAGCGCAAACACCGUCACUUGGUCGAGACCGGCCUUGCCUUACUGGCGCAUUCGUCUCUCCCACUCCGGUUUUGGGAUGAGGCCUUUUUUACGGCAUGUUAUCUCAUCAAC